GGGCGUCAGUCAUUAUAGAGACAUGCAGUCGAGCGAAUGGAUUAAGAGCUUCGCUCUUAUGAAGUUAGCGGCGGACGGGUGAGUAACACGUGGGUAACCUGCCCAUAAGACUGGGAUAACUCCGGGAAACCGGGGCUAAUACCGGAUAACAUUUUGAACCGCAUGGUUCGAAAUUGAAAGGCGGCUUCGGCUGUCACUUAUGGAUGGACCCGCGUCGCAUUAGCUAGUUGGUGAGGUAACGGCUCACCAAGGCCACGAUGCGUAGCCGACCUGAGAGGGUGAUCGGCCACACUGGGACUGAGACACGGCCAAGACUUAUACGGGAGGCAGCAGUAGGGAAUCUUCCGCAAUGGACGAAAGUCUGACGGAGCAACGCCGCGUGAGUGAUGAAGGCUUUCGGGUCGUAAAACUCUGUUGUUAGGGAAGAACAAGUGCUAGUUGAAUAAGCUGGCACCUUGACGGUACCUAACCAGAAAGCCACGGCUAACUACGUGCCAGCAGCCGCGGUAAUACGUAGGUGGCAAGCGUUAUCCGGAAUUAUUGGGCGUAAAGCGCGCGCAGGUGGUUUCUUAAGUCUGAUGUGAGAGCCCACGGCUCAACCGUGGAGGGUCAUUGGAAACUGGGAGACUUGAGUGCAGAAGAGGAAAGUGGAAUUCCAUGUGUAGCGGUGAAAUGCGUAGAGAUAUGGAGGAACACCAGUGGCGAAGGCGACUUUCUGGUCUGUAACUGACACUGAGGCGCGAAAAGCGUGCUAGAGCAAACAGGAUUAGAUACCCUGGUAGUCCACGCCGUAAACGAUGAGUGCUAAGUGUUAGAGGGUUUCCGCCCUUUAGUGCUGAAGUUAACGCAUUAAGCACUCCGCCUGGGGAGUACGGCCGCAAGGCUGAAAACUCAUAGGAAUUGACGGGGGCCCGCACAAGCGGUGGAGCAUGUGGUUUAAUUCGAAGCAACGCGAAGAACCUUACCAGGUCUUGACAUCCUCUGACAACCCUAGAAAAUAGGGCUUCUCCUUCGGGAACCAAAUGAACAGGUGGGGCAUGGUUUUCCC
RNAcentral lists this ribosomal RNA (1048 nucleotides) under Bacillus cereus. Its description in RNAcentral is "bacterial SSU rRNA". It matches the Rfam family "Bacterial small subunit ribosomal RNA", at positions 37 to 1055 of the family's 1533-position model. Lineage: Bacteria; Bacillati; Bacillota; Bacilli; Caryophanales; Bacillaceae. The record is from RNAcentral.